RNAcentral lists this ribosomal RNA (921 nucleotides) under bacterium enrichment culture clone bHCH6_G5. Its description in RNAcentral is "bacterial SSU rRNA". It matches the Rfam family "Bacterial small subunit ribosomal RNA", at positions 54 to 985 of the family's 1533-position model. The record is from RNAcentral.
CAUGGCAAGUCGAGCGAAGAUUAUAGCAAUGUAAUCUUAGCGGCGGACGGGUGAGUAACGCGUGGGCAACCUACCUCUAACUGGGGGAUAACACAGGGAAACUUGUGCUAAUACCGCAUAACAUCAUGAAAUGACAUCAUUUUAUGAUCAAAGGAGCAAUCCGGUAAGAGAUGGGCCCGCGUCCAAUUAGCUAGUUGGUGGUGUAACGGACCACCAAGGCGACGAUUGGUAGCCGAACUGAGAGGUUGAUCGGCCACAUUGGGACUGAGACACGGCCCAGACUCCUACGGGAGGCAGCAGUGGGGAAUAUUGCGCAAUGGGGGAAACCCUGACGCAGCAACGCCGCGUGAAGGAUGAAGGUUUUCGGAUCGUAAACUUCUUUGAUGAGGGACGAAAUAAAUGACGGUACCUCAAAAACAAGCCACGGCUAACUACGUGCCAGCAGCCGCGGUAAUACGUAGGUGGCGAGCGUUGUCCGGAAUUACUGGGUGUAAAGGGCGUGUAGGCGGGAAUGUAAGUCAGAUGUGAAAUACCGAGGCUUAACUUCGGGGCUGCAUCUGAAACUAUGUUUCUUGAGUGUCGGAGAGGAAAGUGGAAUUCCCAGUGUAGCGGUGAAAUGCGUAGAUAUUGGGAGGAACACCAGUGGCGAAGGCGACUUUCUGGACGAUAACUGACGCUGAGGCGCGAAAGCGUGGGGAGCAAAACAGGAUUAGAUACCCUGGUAGUCCACGCCGUAAACGAUGGAUACUAGGUGUAGGAGGUAUCGACCCCUUCUGUGCCGGAGUUAACACAAUAAAGUAUCCCACCUGGGGGAGUACGGCCGCAGGUUGAAACUCAAAGGAAUUGACGGGGGCCCGCACAAGCAGUGGAGUAUGUGGUUUAAUUCGAAGCAACGCGAAGAACCUUUACCCAGGGCUUGAC